UGGUGGAGUGAUUUGUCUGGUUAAUUCCGUUAACGAACGAGACCUCGACCUGCUAAAUAGUUGCGCGAGGCCUUCGGGCCUUGCCGUUGACUUCUUAGAGGGACUAUCGGUUUCUAACCGAUGGAAGUUCGAGGCAAUAACA
This 142-nucleotide ribosomal RNA is filed under the name uncultured eukaryote. Its description in RNAcentral is "partial 18S ribosomal RNA". It matches the Rfam family "Eukaryotic small subunit ribosomal RNA", at positions 1299 to 1458 of the family's 1831-position model. The record is from RNAcentral.